AAGUCGUAACAAGGUUUCCGUAGGUGAACCUGCGGAAGGAUCAUUACCAAUCUUAGCGGGCCUGGUCUUGUUGACUAUGGUUUCGCGAAAAUCGUAUUUAAAACCCCACUCUUAUAUAAGAUGAAUCAUUAUAUUUGUAAAAAUAAAUAAAGAUCACUUUCAACAACGGAUCUCUUGGCUCUC
Molecule: unclassified non-coding RNA, 183 nt
Filed under: Rhizophagus intraradices
Lineage: Eukaryota; Fungi; Glomeromycota; Glomeromycetes; Glomerales; Glomeraceae
Also listed under: 1 other name
Description: partial internal transcribed spacer region
Rfam family: Eukaryotic small subunit ribosomal RNA (bases 1-46)
Source: RNAcentral